GACGAACGCUGGCGGCGUGCUUAACACAUGCAAGUCGAACGGAAAGGCCUGCUUUCCCUUGUGGUUUGCGGGUACUCGGGUGGCGAACGGGUGAGUACCACGUAAGUGAUCUGCCCCCAACUUGGGUAUAAGCCUGGGAAACAGGGUCAAAUUCCCGAAAGGACGGCAGGGUGGUGCCUGUGGUGGAAAACGAUUUUCUAGUGGUUGGGGAUGAGCUCGCGGCCAAUCAGCUUGUUGGUGGGGUAAUGGCCUACCAAGGCGGCGACGGGUAGCCGGCCUGAGAGGGUGGACGGCCACAUUGGGACUGGGUUACGGCCCAGACUCCUACGGGAGGCAGCAGUGGGGAAUAUUGCACCAUGGGCGGAAGCCUGCUGCAGCGACGCCGCGUGGGGGAUGACGGCCUUCUGGUUGUAAUCUGCUUUCGACCGCGAGGAAGCCACCUGGUUGGAGGGGUGGUGACGGUAGUGGUAGAAGAAGCACCGGCUAACUACGUG
RNAcentral lists this ribosomal RNA (494 nucleotides) under uncultured bacterium. RNAcentral describes it as "partial 16S ribosomal RNA". It matches the Rfam family "Bacterial small subunit ribosomal RNA", at positions 28 to 507 of the family's 1533-position model. The record is from RNAcentral.